GACGAACGCUGGCGGCGUGCUUAACACAUGCAAGUCGAACGAAGAGCGAUGGAAGCUUGCUUCUAUCAAUCUUAGUGGCGAACGGGUGAGUAACGCGUAAUCAACCUGCCCUUCAGAGGGGGACAACAGUUGGAAACGACUGCUAAUACCGCAUACGAUCUAAUCUCGGCAUCGAGGAAAGAUGAAAGGUGGCCUCUAUUUAUAAGCUAUCACUGAAGGAGGGGAUUGCGUCUGAUUAGCUAGUUGGAGGGGUAACGGCCCACCAAGGCGAGGAUCAGUAGCCGGUCUGAGAGGAUGAACGGCCACAUUGGGACUGAGACACGGCCCAGACUCCUACGGGAGGCCGCAGUGGGGAAUCUUCCGCAAUGGACGAAAGUCUGACGGAGCAACGCCGCGUGAGUGAUGACGGCCUUCGGGUUGUAAAGCUCUGUUAAUCGGGACGAAAGGCCUUCUUGCGAACAGUUAGAAGGAUUGACGGUACCGGAAUAGAAAGCCACGGCUAACUACGUG
This 510-nucleotide ribosomal RNA is filed under the name uncultured bacterium. RNAcentral's name for it is "partial 16S ribosomal RNA". It matches the Rfam family "Bacterial small subunit ribosomal RNA", at positions 28 to 507 of the family's 1533-position model. The record is from RNAcentral.